ACAUGCAAGUCGAACGAGCUUCCGUUGAAUGACGUGCUUGCACUGAUUUCAACAAUGAAGCGAGUGGCGAACUGGUGAGUAACACGUGGGGAAUCUGCCCAGAAGCAGGGGAUAACACUUGGAAACAGGUGCUAAUACCGUAUAACAACAAAAUCCGCAUGGAUUUUGUUUGAAAGGUGGCUUCGGCUAUCACUUCUGGAUGAUCCCGCGGCGUAUUAGUUAGUUGGUGAGGUAAAGGCCCACCAAGACGAUGAUACGUAGCCGACCUGAGAGGGUAAUCGGCCACAUUGGGACUGAGACACGGCCCAAACUCCUACGGGAGGCAGCAGUAGGGAAUCUUCCACAAUGGACGAAAGUCUGAUGGAGCAAUGCCGCGUGAGUGAAGAAGGGUUUCGGCUCGUAAAACUCUGUUGUUAAAGAAGAACACCUUUGAGAGUAACUGUUCAAGGGUUGACGGUAUUUAACCAGAAAGCCACGGCUAACUACGUGCCAGCAGCCGCGGUAAUACGUAGGUGGCAAGCGUUGUCCGGAUUUAUUGGGCGUAAAGCGAGCGCAGGCGGUUUUUUAAGUCUGAUGUGAAAGCCUUCGGCUUAACCGGAGAAGUGCAUCGGAAACUGGGAGACUUGAGUGCAGAAGAGGACAGUGGAACUCCAUGUGUAGCGGUGGAAUGCGUAGAUAUAUGGAAGAACACCAGUGGCGAAGGCGGCUGUCUAGUCUGUAACUGACGCUGAGGCUCGAAAGCAUGGGUAGCGAACAGGAUUAGAUACCCUGGUAGUCCAUGCCGUAAACGAUGAGUGCUAAGUGUUGGAGGGUUUCCGCCCCUUCAGUGCUGCAGCUAACGCAUUAAGCACUCCGCCUGGGGGAGUACGACCGCAAGGUUGAAACUCAAAGGAAUUUGACGGGGGCCCGCACAAGCG
This 917-nucleotide ribosomal RNA is filed under the name Lactobacillus sp. 3.8.18. RNAcentral describes it as "bacterial SSU rRNA". It matches the Rfam family "Bacterial small subunit ribosomal RNA", at positions 53 to 931 of the family's 1533-position model. Lineage: Bacteria; Bacillati; Bacillota; Bacilli; Lactobacillales; Lactobacillaceae. The record is from RNAcentral.